CCUUUAACUCCCUUCCCUAUUUGCACGUUCCUUUCUUGCUUCCCAUUUUCUUCUUCCUUCAUCUUUUCCUUUUCCUUUUUCGUGCUCUUUCAUUUAAUUUCCUACCCAAAAUUGCUCCACGUGAAAUUAGCACUUGAUUUUGCUACCUUAUUGUUGCCGUUUUAUUACUUUGAUCAAUUGAUUCUUGGGGCUUGGGUGUUGCGUUCUGGUAUUGUGGGGCUUGGUUCUACUCUCUUUUGCAAUAGUAAUUCUCUAAGUGUUCAUAAGUAAAAGUUUUCUGUGGAAUUGGUAGGAGUUUUUUUAAUGUUUUAUUACUCUGUUUGAAGUGUAAGUUGACUCCAUGUGUUAUUGUUGCAAAGUGAUAUUCAAGAAAUCUGAGAUUCUCCUGUUGCGAAUUAGUUGUUUAGGGGCUACCGUGGAUGUAGGUACUGUUUACUCCAUAGGUGCAGUUGUAACAAAAUCGAAUCAAGUGUGUAACGAGAAAUUCGAAAAAUAGCAAACGACAAAAGUCGAAAUUGGGGCCUGUCGACGCCACACGGUUGUAUGCGACACACGACCUUGUGAUAGGUCGUGUGAAACACACAGUCUAGGCCAUUUUGGACCGUAUGCCAGGUAGUGUGGGCCAUACGGGCAAGCAAUUUAGGUCGUGUGGGCUACAUGGGCAUAUGGGCCCAAAAUUUAAAAUUUUUUCCUAGGGCCAUACACGUCGUCCUGAUUGACCGUGAGCCUUCUGUGGGGUUGGUAUGUGAUUAUAUAAGUUGUUAAGCAUGAAUUCUGUUAAUCUGUUAGUAUGAAACUUGACGUAAAUAAUGUUUAAUAUGUGUGAUUUGUUAUGUAAUAAGUAUGUUCUGCAUCUGUUAUACAAGCAUGUAUGAUAUGUAAAUUCUGGCA
This is a long non-coding RNA of Gossypium arboreum, 891 nucleotides long. RefSeq lists it as uncharacterized. The transcript has 2 exons. Lineage: Eukaryota; Viridiplantae; Streptophyta; Magnoliopsida; Malvales; Malvaceae. The record is from RefSeq and is a predicted model, not a curated record.